CAGUAGCCGCGGGAAUACGUAGGUGGCAAGCGUUGUCCGGAAUUAUUGGGCGUAAAGGGCUCGCAGGCGGUUUCUUAAGUCUGAUGUGAAAGCCCCCGGCUCAACCGGGGAGGGUCAUUGGAAACUGGGAAACUUGAGUGCAGAAGAGGAGAGUGGAAUUCCACGUGUAGCGGUGAAAUGCGUAGAGAUGUGGAGGAACACCAGUGGCGAAGGCGACUUUCUGGUCUGUAACUGACGCUGAGGAGCGAAAGCGUGGGGAGCGAACAGGAUUAGAUACCCCGGUAGUCCCUGUCUCUUAUAC
This 301-nucleotide ribosomal RNA is filed under the name uncultured bacterium. Its description in RNAcentral is "partial 16S ribosomal RNA". It matches the Rfam family "Bacterial small subunit ribosomal RNA", at positions 509 to 807 of the family's 1533-position model. The record is from RNAcentral.